CGAACCCAGAGAAAAGAGUGAGCUACAUUCACAGCCACCAAAAAGUUGGAGUAUGUACAAGCUAAUUUUCCAAGUACCCUGAUAUUGUGUCAUUGUGUGUCCAUCACAAAGUAUAAUUUUACACAGUACAAAAUAGUUAAGUAGAACAUUUUCACGAAUGCUUUACUAUUAAUUGUAUCAGCAUUCAACAGUAAUUAGUAAUGAAAUAUAUAUAUAUUGUUUUUUGUAAUGCUUAUUCCCUACUUAGCACGUGAAUUAAAUAUUUGAUAGUUAUGCAAUGCAACAAAGAUAAAUAUACUCAGUAGCUUAUGCUACUCAUCACCUUUGUAUUUGAUGGGAAGGACACCAUUGGCUCAUUCCUAGUAGUUGGGUUGAGCAAGCUGUGACCAUUCUAAUCAUGAGCAACUAGACAACCACUUAUCACCAAAAUGAAGCCUACUAAAAUUUUAGUCAGCUACCCAAAAGGCCAAAACUAAGAGCAAGUGUCUUGGAUUAUACUAAUUAUGUUUUCUUAUGCACACGCACAUACACCCCUUACUAACAUGCAAUCUACCAGUUACCCUUUUAACAAUCAAUUCACUCUUUUGAACUAAAGAAA
RNAcentral lists this unclassified non-coding RNA (598 nucleotides) under Hevea brasiliensis (rubber tree). The record is from RNAcentral. Lineage: Eukaryota; Viridiplantae; Streptophyta; Magnoliopsida; Malpighiales; Euphorbiaceae.